This 853-nucleotide long non-coding RNA is filed under the name Heterocephalus glaber (naked mole-rat). RNAcentral's name for it is "lncRNA (ENSHGLG00000043044.1)". Lineage: Eukaryota; Metazoa; Chordata; Mammalia; Rodentia; Bathyergidae. The record is from RNAcentral.
CGCUGACGUCAGGCUGGCGGCGGCCUUCUGCGCAGGUGCCUGCGGUCCUCCGCUUUGGUGUGUGUUAGGCCUAGGCGUUUUCUAAAACCUCAGCGCUGUUAGUACCCCGGGGAACUUGGAGAGGGAAGUAGGCGCUCAAAAAGGAGACGUGGGAAAAAGAAAAGGCGACGUGGGAGAAUGGGCAAGCUGCUCAGGGAGUGGAAACUUAACGGAACAAAAACGCUUCUCAUCCGAAGCUGUCUUCUUAGGUGCAAUAUGUAAACUGUCUUGAAUUCAGCCAUGGAAAGUUAAAUCCUGAAGUUUCAUCUCCCCAGUUCUGGGAUCCCAAGCCAGGAUCUGCCCAGAGCCAGCCUUUUAAAUGAACGUGUCUGUACAGUGGCCAGAAGAAGGCUCUGACCAGCAUGGGCUUUCAUCCCAUCUCCAGCUGGCCUGAAGCUCCUCACUGUGUUGUGACCUCGAGGACGAGGAUGGAAUUCUGGCAUGGAUUCCAAAGGUGUUCAGAAUGGCUGUGUUGCCCAGGUUCCCCUGUACCCCCGUCUGGUACAGCACACACAAGCUAGGCCUGAGAAGUCAGGUGUAUUCACUGAGCACACAUUUCCUUAUUGAGCCCCAGUAAUCCCAUGCCCUGUGCUGGGGUCUGCAGAGAUGAGUUGAAUUUGAUCUCCUCCCUCUAGGUCUUAAAAGAUGGCAAGGAGGUACCAAGGAGGAGUUGAUGAAGUACUAGGAAACAAGCUAGCAACAACAAACAAUAAAAUGAAAAGAAAAAUCACAGAGGUCCUAAAGCCCAAAUUUUCAAGGAACCUGAGCUGAAAGUCAGCUCUGUGGCCAGCUGUAUGCCACAGAGAUAUCCGAG